RNAcentral lists this ribosomal RNA (468 nucleotides) under uncultured bacterium. Its description in RNAcentral is "partial 16S ribosomal RNA". It matches the Rfam family "Bacterial small subunit ribosomal RNA", at positions 28 to 507 of the family's 1533-position model. The record is from RNAcentral.
GACGAACGCUGGCGGCGUGCUUAACACAUGCAAGUCGAACGGAAAGGCCCUGCUUUUGUGGGGUGCUCGAGUGGCGAACGGGUGAGUAACACGUGAGUAACCUGCCCUUGACUUUGGGAUAACUUCAGGAAACUGGGGCUAAUACCGGAUAGGAGCUCCUGCUGCAUGGUGGGGGUUGGAAAGUUUCGGCGGUUGGGGAUGGACUCGCGGCUUAUCAGCUUGUUGGUGGGGUCGUGGCUUACCAAGGCUUUGACGGGUAGCCGGCCUGAGAGGGUGACCGGCCACAUUGGGACUGAGAUACGGCCCAGACUCCUACGGGAGGCAGCAGUGGGGAAUAUUGCACAAUGGGCGGAAGCCUGAUGCAGCAACGCCGCGUGCGGGAUGACGGCCUUCGGGUUGUAAACCGCUUUCGCCUGUGACGAAGCGUGAGUGACGGUAAUGGGUAAAGAAGCACCGGCUAACUACGUG